CAGUCGCCGCGGUAAUACGUAGGGUGCAAGCGUUAAUCGGAAUUACUAGGCGUAAAGCGUGCGUAGGUGGUGGUUUAAGUCCGUUGUGAAAGCCCUGGGCUCAACCUGGGAAUUGCAGUGGAUACUGGGUCACUAGAGUGUGGUAGAGGAUAGUGGAAUUUCCGGUGUAGCAGUGAAAUGCGUAGAGAUCGGAAGGAACAUCUGUGGCGAAGGCGACUAUCUGGGCCAACACUGACACUGAGGCACGAAAGCGUGGGGAGCAAACAGGAUUAGAGACCCGAGUAGUCCCUGUCUCUUAUAC
This 301-nucleotide ribosomal RNA is filed under the name uncultured bacterium. RNAcentral describes it as "partial 16S ribosomal RNA". It matches the Rfam family "Bacterial small subunit ribosomal RNA", at positions 509 to 807 of the family's 1533-position model. The record is from RNAcentral.